GAUUAACGCUGGCGGCAUGCCUAAUACAUGCAAAUCGAACGGAGUUAUUCUUCGGAAUAACUUAGUGGUGAACGGGUGAGUAACACGUAUCCAAUCUACCUUCAGGUUGGGGAUAACUAAUCGAAAGAUUAGCUAAUACCGAAUAAGCUCUUGGUCUCGCAUGAGACAAAGAGGAAAGGUCCUCCAAAGGAUCGCCUUUAGAUGAGGGUGCGGCAUAUCAGAUAGUUGGUAAGGUAACGGCUUACCAAGUCGAUGACGUGUAGUUGUACUGAGAGGUAAAACAACCACAAUGGGACUGAGACACGGCCCAUACUCCUACGGGAGGCAGCAGUAGGGAAUUUUUCACAAUGGGCGAAAGCCUGAUGGAGCAAUGCCGCGUGAACGAUGAAGGUCCUCUGGAUCGUAAAGUUCUUUUAUAUGGGAAGAAUAAUAAGGAAAGGAAAUGUUCUUUAUUUGACUGUACCAUUUUGAAUAAGUAUCGGCUAACUAUGUGCCAGCAGCCGCGGUAAUACAUAGGAUGCAAGCGUUAUCCGGAUUUACUGGGCGUAAAGCAAGCGCAGGCGGGCUUACAAGUUUGGUAUGAAAGACAUUUGCUUAACGAGUGUUUGUAUCAAAAACUGUAAGUCUAGAGUAUGCUAGGGAGUUCUGGAAUUCCAUGUGGAGCGGUGGAAUGCGUAGAUAUAUGGAAGAACACCAGUGGCGAAGGCGAGAACUUAGAGCAUUACUGACGCUUAGGCUUGAAAGUGUGGGGAGCAAAUAGG
This 761-nucleotide ribosomal RNA is filed under the name uncultured bacterium. RNAcentral describes it as "bacterial SSU rRNA". It matches the Rfam family "Bacterial small subunit ribosomal RNA", at positions 28 to 776 of the family's 1533-position model. The record is from RNAcentral.